This 212-nucleotide ribosomal RNA is filed under the name uncultured bacterium. RNAcentral's name for it is "partial 16S ribosomal RNA". It matches the Rfam family "Bacterial small subunit ribosomal RNA", at positions 524 to 731 of the family's 1533-position model. The record is from RNAcentral.
UACGUAGGGUGCAAGCGUUGUCCGGAAUUAUUGGGCGUAAAGAGCUCGUAGGCGGUUUUGUCGCGUCUGCCGUGAAAGUCCGGGGCUCAACUCCGGAUCUGCGGUGGGUACGGGCAGACUAGAGUGAUGUAGGGGGAGACUGGAAUUCCUGGUGUAGCGGGUGAAAAUGCGCAGAUAUCAGGAGGAACACCGAUGGCGAAGGCAGGUCUCUG